UCUCAUUGUUGUGGCAGUUAGAAGGAAUAUAGAUAGAUAGAUAUAGAUGGAGAGCACAGUUGGACAUGAAGGGAUACUAUCUAAAAAAUAAAAUUAAGGAGUAAAAGAGGACUGUAUUAAUAGUAAGGAAAAGGAAGAAAUGGAAUGGUGUAAAUUAUCUGCCAUAACAAAAGGAUAUCCGAUGAUCUACUCUCCAAGGAAGAGAAUAUUAUAGUUAUAACAAAUGGAAUAUGAGACAGGGGUGAAGGCAGAAAUAGUAGCAAAAAGCAUCUGAGUGAUGUGAGAUAAAAAGUAAGAGGUGGCUUACAUCUAAAUGAAACCUGAACUGAAUCCUUCUGCAAAAUCCCAGAUGGUUUUGCAUUACAAAAGGCACCCCUUGUUGCUUUGUUAUUUGAAAAUUAUUACUGAAAGAAUUGGCAUUCAUCAUAAAGACAUGAAUACUUGAGAAAAGGACGUUUCAAUUAAAGAAAAAAGAAACAUUCCACUCUCAGUGAAAACCUAAAAAGUUGAAUUUAAGGGGUUCAAUAAAUUGAUCA
This is a long non-coding RNA of Sarcophilus harrisii (Tasmanian devil), 536 nucleotides long. RefSeq lists it as uncharacterized. The record is from RefSeq and is a predicted model, not a curated record. Lineage: Eukaryota; Metazoa; Chordata; Mammalia; Dasyuromorphia; Dasyuridae. The transcript has 3 exons.